Molecule: transfer RNA, 69 nt
Filed under: Rattus norvegicus (Norway rat)
Lineage: Eukaryota; Metazoa; Chordata; Mammalia; Rodentia; Muridae
Rfam family: tRNA
About the family: Transfer RNA (tRNA) molecules are approximately 80 nucleotides in length.
Source: Rfam by way of RNAcentral
GGGGAUUUAGCUCAGUCGUAGAGCACUUGCCUAGCAAGCGCAAGGCCCUGGGUUCAGUUCCCAGCUCCA